RNAcentral lists this ribosomal RNA (250 nucleotides) under uncultured bacterium. RNAcentral's name for it is "partial 16S ribosomal RNA". It matches the Rfam family "Bacterial small subunit ribosomal RNA", at positions 524 to 773 of the family's 1533-position model. RNAcentral also lists the same sequence under 1 other name. The record is from RNAcentral.
UACGGAGGGUGCAAGCGUUGUUCGGAAUUAUUGGGCGUAAAGCGCGUGUAGGCGGCUAUUUAAGUCUGAUGUGAAAGCCCGGGGCUCAACCUCGGAAGUGCAUUGGAAACUGGAUGGCUUGAGUGUGGUAGAGGCAAGUGGAAUUCCAUGUGUAGCGGUAAAAUGCGUAAAUAUAUGGAGGAACACCGGUGGCGAAGGCGGCUACCUGGACCGAUACUGACGCUGAGACGCGAAAGCGUGGGGAGCAAAC